UACGUAGGUGGCAAGCGUUAUCCGGAAUUAUUGGGCGUAAAGAGCGCGCAGGUGGUUGAUUAAGUCUGAUGUGAAAGCCCACGGCUUAACCGUGGAGGGUCAUUGGAAACUGGUCGACUUGAGUGCAGAAGAGGGAAGUGGAAUUCCAUGUGUAGCGGUGAAAUGCGUAGAGAUAUGGAGGAACACCAGUGGCGAAGGCGGCUUCCUGGUCUGUAACUGACACUGAGGCGCGAAAGCUAGGGGAGCAAACGGGGAUUAGAUACCCCGGUA
This 270-nucleotide ribosomal RNA is filed under the name uncultured prokaryote. RNAcentral describes it as "partial 16S ribosomal RNA". It matches the Rfam family "Bacterial small subunit ribosomal RNA", at positions 524 to 792 of the family's 1533-position model. The record is from RNAcentral.